Clostridium collagenovorans DSM 3089 is the source of this 284-nucleotide ribosomal RNA. It matches the Rfam family "Bacterial large subunit ribosomal RNA", at positions 2639 to 2925 of the family's 2925-position model. The record is from Rfam. NCBI's taxonomy places the organism in Bacteria, Bacillati, Bacillota, Clostridia, Eubacteriales, Clostridiaceae.
UAUCCGCCGCGGGCGUAGGAAAUUUGAGAGGAGCUGUCCUUAGUACGAGAGGACCGGGAUGGACUGACCUCUGGUGCACCAGUUGUUCCGCCAGGAGCACAGCUGGGUAGCUAUGUCGGGAAGGGAUAAACGCUGAAAGCAUCUAAGCGUGAAGCCUACCUCAAGAUUAGAUUUCCCAUGUAUAUCAGUAAGACCCCUUGAAGAACACAAGGUUGAUAGGUCGGAGGUGUAAGUAUGGUAACAUAUUCAGCUGACCGAUACUAAUAGGUCGAGGACUUGACCAA